RNAcentral lists this ribosomal RNA (440 nucleotides) under uncultured bacterium. Its description in RNAcentral is "partial 16S ribosomal RNA". It matches the Rfam family "Bacterial small subunit ribosomal RNA", at positions 338 to 795 of the family's 1533-position model. The record is from RNAcentral.
CCUACGGGAGGCAGCAGUGGGGAAUAUUGCACAAUGGGGGAAACCCUGAUGCAGCGACGCCGCGUGAGUGAAGAAGUAUCUCGGUACGUAAAGCUCUAUCUGCAGGGAAGAAAAUGACGGUACCUGACUAAGAAGCCCCGGCUAACUACGUGCCAGCAGCAGCGGUAAUACGCAGGGGGCAAGCGUUAUCCGGAUUUACUGGGUGUAAAGGGAGCGGAGACGGCAGCACAAGUCCGGAGGGAAAUCCCCGGGCUUAACCCCGGAACUGCUUUGGAAACUGUGCGGCUGGAGUGCAGGAGGGGUAAGCGGAAUUCGUGGUGUAGCGGUGAAAUGCGUAGAUAUUAGGAGGAACACCGGUGGCGAAGGCGGCUUGCUGGACUGUAACUGACGUUGAGGCUCGAAGGCGUGGGGAGCAAACAGGAUUAGAUACCCUUGUAGUC